ACUGCUCAGUAACACGUGGCUAACCUGCCCUUGGGACAAGAACAACCCCGGGAAACUGGGGCUAAUUCUCGAUAGGCGAAGAACUCUGGAAUGAGUCUUCACCCAAAAGAAACAACGUUACGCUCGUAGUUUCGCCCAAGGAUGGGGCCGCGACCGAUCAGGUUGUUGGCGAGGCAAUGGCUCACCAAGCCUUUUACCGGUGCGGGCCGUGGGAGCGGGAGCCCGGAGAUGGGCACUGAGACAAGGGCCCAGGCCCUACGGGGCGCAGCAGUCGCGAAAACUUUGCAAUAAGCGAAAGCUUGACAGGGCUAUCCCGAGUGCCAUCCGCUGAGGAAGGCUUUUACCCAGUCUAGAACGCUGGGGGAAUAAGGAGAGGGCAAGUCUGGUGUCAGCCGCCGCGGUAAUACCAGCUCUUCGAGUGGUGUGGAUGUUUAUUGGGCCUAAAGCAUCCGUAGCUGGCUAAGUUAGUCCCCUGUUAAAUCCACCGAAUUAAUCGUUGGAUUGCGGGGGAUACUGCUUGGCUAGGGGACGAGAGAGGCAGACGGUAUUUUUGGGGUAGGGGUGAAAUCCUAUAAUCCCAGGAAGACCACCAGUGGCGAAGGCUGUCUGCUAGAACGCGCCCGACGGUGAGGGAUGAAAGCUGGGGGAGCGAACCGGAUUAGAUACCCGGGUAGUCCCAGCUGUAAACGAUGCAGACUAGGUGUUUGGACGGCCACGUGCCGUUCUAGUGCCGCAGGGAAGCUGUUAAGUCUGCCGCCUGGGGAGUACGAUCGCAAGAUUGAAACUUAAAGGAAUUGGCGGGGGAGCAC
Molecule: ribosomal RNA, 809 nt
Filed under: uncultured archaeon
Lineage: Archaea
Description: bacterial SSU rRNA
Rfam family: Archaeal small subunit ribosomal RNA
Source: RNAcentral